CCUACGCCGCCGUCCGCCAGAAACGCAGUGUAUACGCGAUUCAUAUCAUACCGGCCGAUCCGGUGAUGCUUUGCUGUUGCUAGAUAAUAGUAAUAAUAAUAAUAACCGUUUUCUUGUCUGUGCCGACUAAAUUGUCAUCCGUGUCACCCAGCGGGUAACCCGCGAAUAAACGAAAAUAAACAAAACGAAAAACUAGACGUUCGUACCGAAAAUACCUAAAAACCCACAUUUUACCCCCGUAGUGGUUGAAUUUUCAAAAACCCUUUCUAGCGGGACGCUUACGUCACAAUAGCUAUCUGCGCGUGGUUUGUGCUAGGCGGCGGUGAAUCAGUCAGUCAGAACGUGUUAUUAUACAUAAAGAAGAUAAUACGUAUCCAUAUACCGGCUAUCGGUAUAAAUACGUCAUAUCCGGGCGAAAACCAAAAACGAGCGUGGAGAAAAAUAUAGAAAAAGACGCGUCGUCGUAACACGAUGCAAUGUGGACCCGGGGAAAUGCAAGCGAUGACGGAUAUUCGAUGUUUAUAAUAUACAGCAAUAAUAACGUAAUGUUGUUAUUAUUAUUAUUAUUAUAUUUUUGCUCGUUUUGUAAUUAAUAACUCGCACAGGGGUCUCGGCCGUAUAGACGUCAACCCUAGCGCCGCGAGAGGGGUCAGGCUAUUUAUCUUCUUUCCGCGCGCGUGCACACUAGAAAGGAUUUCGGUAUUUUAUUUUAGUUUUUUUUUUUUUUUUUUUUUUUUUUUAAGUGGGAGUGCGUUUUGAAGAAAUAAACACAGUUACCUAGGUGCAUUCGUCUUGUAUAAUAUUAUAUAUACGCGGACCAGAUGACGGUUCUGAACGGCGAGAGCAGUUAUAAAACGGCAAACGUUAUCAAUCAAUCUUCUUCGUCUUUAUUAUUAUUACUUUUUUUUUGUCUACCUUUAAUCUUCCCGGACUAUACACCUACGCGACUACUGUGUCUUUUUUUUUUCUCCCAUCACGUUGACUUCUAUGAAAAUCAUGUUAAAUAAUAAUGACACCGUUAUUUCCGUAAACAUUCCCGGUUUCCCAACAUUUUUCCUGGUUUUUCCCAAUUAAUAAAAAACACGGAACUAUCAAAAACGGCUUUUUAACUCACAAACUAAAUAAAAUUGCAUUUUAGAAAAGUUGUUACUCUUAAAAUUUGAAGCAAUGUUUCCGGUAGAAAACAUAAGUAAUUAACUCUAGGUGAGUAAGUCUUUUUAGCCUUACGGAAGAUUGUAAUACAGGCGAUUAUCUGUUACGGAGCGUUAAAUCGUAACUGGAACAAAACCGACGAUUGUAAUACUGGCCCUAAAUCGUAUACAUUUAAUAUGGUAAAAUGGUAACGUCGUAAAUACGUCGUCCAUUUCUCCCAAAAUAAACACACUUACACACACAUCGUAAUAAAACUAAUACGGCUAGAAUCUAAAAAUCUAGAAAUUAUUAAACGAUCGUGAACCAAAGGUUUGUCCGCCGUAGCAAUAAAAGGACUAGUUUAAAAAAUGUAUGUUUAACCGAGUAUACACUAUAGUUCAUACAUCGUAAUUGAACUGUUACGAACAAGGCAUUUUUUUUUUUAGUGAAUAUCCACCACGUGACCAUUGUUCUCUCCCCACCCAUUAAAAAAAUAUCCACGAGCAGAUAUACCAAACCUUUCACUUAACUUUUAAACUUUUCCCAGUGGUUUCCACGAAAAUAUAAUAUUUAAGAAUCUAUUAAUUCAAUAAUAAACCACGUAUUUUCUAGCGGACAGUGAUGGACUCGCUGUAAGUAAAAUCCUAUUGAACUACUCUGUUAGACGUUCAAUGGAUUUUACUGUGUCCAUUUGGACGUAGAAAACCUCCUUAAAAAAUAUCCUGAUUUAUUAUGAACUUUUCGUAACAGUUAAUUUGCACCCGAACUUAUUGAAUCAUCGAGAUAAAUUUUAUAUUGGUAUAAGAUAUAAUACAGGUAUUCAAAUAUUAUGAAAUCAUUUUAAAUUUACGUUGCUAUUCCACAGCGAAUAAUAUCUCGGAAACCUUAAAAUUAAUUUUAACAAAAACAACUAUCGAGAUUUUCAAUUUUGUUCCGUAAUAAUAAUGCGUCAACUACCUAAAGUUAUACCUACAUACCAAGUGUCUUUUUAAAAGCGAUUUUCCAUUUGGUGUGCGUUUAACGAGGAGUAAACUUUUUUUCAGACAAAACGUUUA
Non-coding RNA from Cinara cedri, 2186 nucleotides. The record is from the annotation of a GenBank genome assembly. NCBI's taxonomy places the organism in Eukaryota, Metazoa, Arthropoda, Insecta, Hemiptera, Aphididae.